Molecule: ribosomal RNA, 429 nt
Filed under: Pseudomonadota bacterium
Lineage: Bacteria; Pseudomonadati; Pseudomonadota
Description: Proteobacteria bacterium partial 16S ribosomal RNA
Rfam family: Bacterial small subunit ribosomal RNA
Source: RNAcentral
UGGGGAAUAUUGGACAAUGGGCGAAAGCCUGAUCCAGCCAUGCCGCGUGUGUGAAGAAGGUCUUCGGAUUGUAAAGCACUUUAAGUUGGGAGGAAGGGCAGUAAGCGAAUACCUUGCUGUUUUGACGUUACCGACAGAAUAAGCACCGGCUAACUCUGUGCCAGCAGCCGCGGUAAUACAGAGGGUGCAAGCGUUAAUCGGAAUUACUGGGCGGAAAGCGCGCGUAGGUGGUUCGUUAAGUUGAAUGUGAAAGCCCCGGGCUCAACCUGGGAACUGCAUCCAAAACUGGCGAGCUAGAGUAGGGCAGAGGGUGGUGGAAUUUCCUGUGUAGCGUUGAAAUGCGUAGAUAUAGGAAGGAUCACCAGUGGCGAAGGCGACCACCUGGGCUCAUACUGACACUGAGGUGCGAAAGCGUGGUGAGCAAACAGG